CAGCGCGGGGCGGGCCCGGCGCGGCGCGCGCGGCGGCUGCAGGGGGACGUGAGGCCCGUGAGGUGGAUCCCAGGGAUGUGGCGGCUCUCAGAGGCUGCGAGGGGCUCACGGCAGCAGCUCCCUGCUUGUCUGGAUGCUCUGAUUAGCAAGACCUGCUGGGAUAGGAGACUGGAAGUGAGAGGAAGAAUGACAAAUCAGGCACUUUCUCUCACUGGAACACCCGAGCCAGACAUUUCUCCACCAGCAAUAUUGUUCGGGCCACGGCUGCUGCCUGCUCGCCUCUUCUGAAAAGAAACGUUAGCAAAUGUAUCUGUGCAGUCAUUUCCUUAAAGGAUCUCUCACAGAUAAUGCAGUGUCCUCAUUGCCAGGGAAAUCACACGCCCAGCUGCAUGACAGCUUCGUGACUUAGGAGAUCUUGGAACAAAUCCUUUGGGCAAUCCCAGGCUCCGAGCAAUCAGAAGAUCUCUUCAUGUGACUUGGAAAACUUAUUUCCCUCCAGCCUGAGCCGAGCGAGAAGAAAAAAAAAAAAAAAAAAACUUGUUCCGCUGAGUUCAACCCCAGACAGGCUCACAACUUCCUUCCUGCUCCCUCCUACCCCCUCCCUCCGCACUCCUCCUCCUCGCCGCUCCUCUCCCUCUCCUUCUCCUCCUCCUGCUCUUUCCGCCUUUCCAGCAGCACUGGGAGCGGACGCCGGGGCCGCGGCGCGGAGCUGCGCGGAGCUGC
Long non-coding RNA from Catharus ustulatus (Swainson's thrush), 723 nucleotides. RefSeq lists it as uncharacterized. The record is from RefSeq and is a predicted model, not a curated record. The transcript has 7 exons. NCBI's taxonomy places the organism in Eukaryota, Metazoa, Chordata, Aves, Passeriformes, Turdidae.